RNAcentral lists this ribosomal RNA (461 nucleotides) under uncultured bacterium. RNAcentral's name for it is "partial 16S ribosomal RNA". It matches the Rfam family "Bacterial small subunit ribosomal RNA", at positions 338 to 795 of the family's 1533-position model. The record is from RNAcentral.
CCUACGGGUGGCAGCAGUGAGGAAUAUUGGUCAAUGGCCGGAAGGCUGAACCAGCCAAGCCGCGUGAAGGACGAAGGUGCCAAGCAUUGUAAACUUCUUUUGUCAAGGGACAAAAUCAGGCUCGAGAGCCUGACCGAGGGUACUUGAAGAAAAAGCAUCGGCUAACUCCGUGCCAGCAGCCGCGGUAAUACGGAGGAUGCGAGCGUUAUCCGGAUUUAUUGGGUUUAAAGGGUGCGUAGGCGGGCUGUUAAGUCAGCGGUAAAAGCCCGGGGCUCAACGGGGUGAAGUGCCAUUGAUACUGCCUUGCUGGAAUGCGUAUGCCGUGGGAGGAAUGUGUGGUGUAGCAGUGAAAUGCAUAGAUAUCACACAGAACACCGAUUGCGAAGGCAUCUCACGAAUCCGCGAUUGACGCUGAUGCACGAAAGCGUGGGUAUCAAACAGGAUUAGAUACCCCUGUAGUC